This 352-nucleotide long non-coding RNA is filed under the name Piliocolobus tephrosceles (Ugandan red Colobus). RNAcentral describes it as "lncRNA (ENSPTEG00000025332.1)". The record is from RNAcentral. Lineage: Eukaryota; Metazoa; Chordata; Mammalia; Primates; Cercopithecidae.
GCCUGCAGUGCCCACUCCCACGUGAAAGACUGGCUCGUACAUUUCCCCAUUCAGCUGAUGGUGAGUGCAGUGCUAUUUUAAGCCCACAUGGAAGUACUUUUUUUUUUUUAUAAGGACCAUCUGCUACCGGCCCCAGCCCAGAUGAUACAGUUAGAGCCUACCCACAGCAUCCUCCCCGCCUUCAGACAGUUCCAGGAACAGGGUUUUGGAUCCUAAAAUCAACCAAAGGCAGAAUCUGACCGCUUUCCAAAGCAAUGAUCCUUUAGAUUGAGAACAAAAUGGUGGAACAGCUCUUCAUUUUUCCCGUCUCAAGAAGUCACAAGGCCCAGAAUGCAAGAAAAUCGUGGCUUUU